RNAcentral lists this ribosomal RNA (460 nucleotides) under uncultured bacterium. RNAcentral's name for it is "partial 16S ribosomal RNA". It matches the Rfam family "Bacterial small subunit ribosomal RNA", at positions 338 to 795 of the family's 1533-position model. The record is from RNAcentral.
CCUACGGGAGGCAGCAGUGAGGAAUAUUGGUCAAUGGACGAGAGUCUGAACCAGCCAAGUAGCGUGAAGGAUGACUGCCCUAUGGGUUGUAAACUUCUUUUAUAAAGGAAUAAAACGAGGCACGUGUGCCUUUUUGCAUGUACUUUAUGAGUAAGGAUCGGCUAACUCCGUGCCAGCAGCCGCGGUAAUACGGAGGAUCCGAGCGUUAUCCGGAUUUAUUGGGUUUAAAGGGAGCGUAGAUGGGUUGUUAAGUCAGUUGUGAAAGUUUGCGGCUCAACCGUAAAAUUGCAAUUGAUACUGGCAGUCUUGAGUACAGUUGAGGUAGGCGGAAUUCGUGGUGUAGCGGUGAAAUGCUUAGAUAUCACGAAGAACCCCGAUGGCGAAGGCAGCUUACUAAACUGUGACUGACAUUGAUGCUCGAAAGUGUGGGUAGCAAACAGGAUUAGAUACCCCUGUAGUC